GACGAACGCUGGCGGCGUGCUUAACACAUGCAAGUCGAACGGGCCCGCCCCUUUUUUUGGGGUUGGUUUGAGUGGCUAACGGGUGUGUAUCCCGUGUGUCACCUUCCCCCUGCUCCUGGAUACCUGCUUGAAAGGGCGGCUAAUCCGGGGUGUUCCGCCUGGUCCGCAUGGGCCUGGUCUGGCUAGUUUCAUCUUCGGUUGUUUCGGUGGGGGAUGGGCGCGGGGCCUAUCAGCUUGUGGGUGGGGUGAUUGCCCACCAAGGCGGUGACGGGUAGCCGGCCUGAGAGGGUGGGCGGCCAGACUGGGACUGGGACACGGCCCAGACUGCGGCGGGAGGCAGCAGUGGGGGGUAUGGCACAAUGGGCGGAAGCCUGAUGCAGCGACGUCGCGUGAGGGAUGGAGGCCUUCGGGUUGUGAAACUCUUUCGCGGGUGGGGAAGGCCCUGUCCGUUGCGGCGGGGUUGACGGUAGCCGGGGAUGAAGCGCCGGCUAACUACGUG
RNAcentral lists this ribosomal RNA (499 nucleotides) under uncultured bacterium. Its description in RNAcentral is "partial 16S ribosomal RNA". It matches the Rfam family "Bacterial small subunit ribosomal RNA", at positions 28 to 507 of the family's 1533-position model. The record is from RNAcentral.